This is a long non-coding RNA of Drosophila santomea, 1137 nucleotides long. RefSeq lists it as uncharacterized. Lineage: Eukaryota; Metazoa; Arthropoda; Insecta; Diptera; Drosophilidae. The transcript is spliced from 2 exons. The record is from RefSeq and is a predicted model, not a curated record.
UUAUAUUUAACCCUAUCAACAUUUUCAAACACUGAAGUGGAAAUCAUCAAUCAAUUUCCUGUGCUUUAUCAACUAUCUUAACCAACUUUGUUGUAGUUUGGAAGUAUCUAUUGCCAAAAUUUAAUUAUUUUAAGUGGAACUCUUGAAUAGUGCUCUACUUUUCAAGAUAUUGAACCUGAUAAACAACUUCUGAAAAGCGUGAGAUAUAUGGGCGCCGUGGCUUAGUUGGUUAAAGCGCCUGUCUAGUAAACAGGAGAUCGUGAGUUCGAAUCUCGCCGGGGCCUAUCACAAAUCGGUGAUCGCAGUUCUUGGCACCGCUUCCACAUGCUCACCCCUUUUCCCUUUUCCCUUUCCCCUGGCUUGUUAACAAAUUGCGCCAGAACAAAAGCCCGAAGGGGAAUUUGCAUGCCCAUCACGACGACGCCGGGCUCAGAUUACGAUCGACAUAGCCGCCAGCUGACCUUAACUUAUGUCCAACGCUUUCGGGGGAUCUGGUGAUAUGGUGUUCUGGGGAUCUGGGGAUCUGGAGGAUCUAAGGAAACAAGUGUAAAGCGUUUCGGGCAAAUUGAGCUAGUCAACAGGACACAUCGAGUGUGAAGGAGGUUUAUAGGGGACCCACCAUCUGUAUCUCCAUCGGAUCGCCAACGCAAGCGUUCCAGAGUUAGUUGCAGAGUUCGGAGAGAAAACAAAGCGAUGCUGAAAUUCCGCUUAAGCACAACUCUUAUGCCUUUCAAAACUAAAUUAAUCUUCAUUGGAAGCCAUCGACAGGAGGAGGACGAGAUGUGGAGGAGCAGAAAUGAGGGCUUCGUUUGGAUUGAAGCCGCCAAGAAAAAUUAGCGCAAAUGAUUGACAGCCUAAAUGGGAAUUUAAUGGUAAACUUUAGUUGAAUUUUGCUUUUUCUGCCAUCUACCAUCGUUCUGAAGACCCCAAACCUGGGUUCGCUAUAAUUUGCCGCAGAAAUAACCCUGAAGGAUCCGAGUGAAAUCGCUCGCUGUAAAAAGUAAAAGCUAAAUUGUUUCCACCAGCAAAAUUGAUACCAAAUUGAUGUAUCUUUUUCGUUGCUCUGUUGAUGUUUUGCCAAAACGAUUUAAAAAGCAAAAAAUAAAAAAAGAGGUUGCAAAACCGUUAUAAGAUCAA